This is a long non-coding RNA of Suricata suricatta (meerkat), 528 nucleotides long. RefSeq lists it as uncharacterized. The record is from RefSeq and is a predicted model, not a curated record. NCBI's taxonomy places the organism in Eukaryota, Metazoa, Chordata, Mammalia, Carnivora, Herpestidae. The transcript is spliced from 5 exons.
AACACAAUCAACAAGUUAACAGUAAAUAAACAAGGGCAAUGGCAACAUGGUAAUGAGAUCAAGGUUACUCCUCUGAGAAAAAAGAAGCCUCUUAUCGCUAUGGCUCAGCACUAACACUACCUCCUCAGAAGGAAGAUGAAGCUCUCCCGUUUGUCAAGGUUGCUUUGAAACCACAGGUUCCAGAAUGAAAUACAGAACUCCAGAACCCCCCCCCCACCUCCCCGGCUGAAGUGAAGUUAGCUUCUCCACCCAUGUCAGCCAUAAGACUUAGAAAGAACUGAAGAUUUGCCUCCUGUUCAAGAAUGAAACUUUACAUAGAACCAACUGUCAGCUCCAGAUCUAUCUGAUACAGAAAGUUCAUGUUCUUAAUUACUAUGAAGAAAUAGAGGAGGCUUCUGGAUUGGUCAACACGCGAAGAUGGGAGAGUGAUGGACCCAGAGAGAGCUCCGAAGUCCUAUGCCUCUCCCUCCCCCCAUACAUACCCUAUAUAUCUCUUCCAUUUUGGCUGUUCCUGAGUUGUUCCUUAUA